Molecule: ribosomal RNA, 368 nt
Filed under: Erythrolamprus typhlus (blind ground snake)
Lineage: Eukaryota; Metazoa; Chordata; Lepidosauria; Squamata; Dipsadidae
Description: partial 16S ribosomal RNA
Rfam family: Bacterial large subunit ribosomal RNA
Source: RNAcentral
UGUCCACUAACUAUGGACUAGUAUGAAAGGCAAAAUGAGGGUUUAACUGUCUCUUAUAGUAAGUCAAUUAAACUGAUCUACCAGUAAAAAAGCUGGAAUAAACACACAAGACCAGAAGACCCUGUGAAGCUUAAACUAAACUAUUAAACCACAUAAUAACUACUUUCGGUUGGGGCGACCUUGGAAAAAAAAGAACUUCCAAACUAGUGACAAUUAAUCACUCCCAGGCCAACAAGCCAUACACGACCCAGUACACCUGACAACUGAACCAAGUUACUCCAGGGAUAACAGCGCUAUCUUCUUCAAGAGCCCAUAUCAAAAAGAAGGUUUACGACCUCGAUGUUGGAUCAGGACACCCCAAUGGUGUA